GACGAACGCUGGCGGCGUGCUUAACACAUGCAAGUCGAACGGAAAGGCCCUGCUUUUGUGGGGUGCUCGAGUGGCGAACGGGUGAGUAACACGUGAGUAACCUGCCCUUGACUUUGGGAUAACUUCAGGAAACUGGGGCUAAUACCGGAUAGGAGCUCCUGCUGCAUGGUGGGGGUUGGAAAGUUCCGGCGGUUGGGGAUGGACUCGCGGCUUAUCAGCUUGUUGGUGGGGUAGUGGCUUACCAAGGCUUUGACGGGUAGCCGGCCUGGGAGGGUGACCGGCCACAUCGGCACUGGGAUACGGCCCCGACCCCUACGGGUGGCAGCAGUGGGGAAUAUUGCACAAUGGGCGGAAGCCUGAUGCAGCAACGCCGCGUGCGGGAUGACGGCCUUCGCGUUGUAUACCGCUUUCGCCUGUGACGAAGCGUGAGUGACGGUAAUGGGUAAAGAAGCACCGGCUAACUACGUG
Molecule: ribosomal RNA, 468 nt
Filed under: uncultured bacterium
Lineage: Bacteria
Description: partial 16S ribosomal RNA
Rfam family: Bacterial small subunit ribosomal RNA
Source: RNAcentral